Long non-coding RNA from Phlebotomus papatasi, 1206 nucleotides. RefSeq lists it as uncharacterized. The transcript has 2 exons. The record is from RefSeq and is a predicted model, not a curated record. NCBI's taxonomy places the organism in Eukaryota, Metazoa, Arthropoda, Insecta, Diptera, Psychodidae.
AUGCACUUUCUUAAUUUCGGCCGUUGAGGUUCAAAGUCAUGAUCACUGAGACUGUCGGGUUCCCCAUGUACUAAAUUUCGGACUCCGAAAGUCUAUGUUUUGUGCUAUAUUGUGUAUCUGUGUGUGUGUUCUUUCCCACCGUCACAGGGAGAGAGGUAAUUGUACUGACCCUAGUGGGGGCAGUCGGGGACAGAGCUUGAUAGUGAGUGGAUGUUUUAAGUUUUUUCCUCCCGUCAGGAGGGCGAAGGUGAAAUGUCAGUGGGGUGCUGAGGAGGCUCCUUGCGGUCCAGGAGAACUUUGUCUUGCUGAUGGCGCCCACCGUUUCUUUCCCACGGAGGGAGGGAGACGUUUCUUUACCGGUUCAGCGGACAACGAAGUCCAGAAGACCCGAGAAGAAAAUCCAUCUACCGGUCGGAGGGGUUUUAUAAUGGGAGGCUCCAGGCUCGCCUCCGGACAUCUUCACCGAAAGAUCAUCGGGUUAUAGACUUCAAUGUUGCGUCAGUGGAGAGAAUGGGGAUCAGCGGAGUUAUCAUUCUCCCGUCUUCCGGCUCCUUGAAUCUCCAGGCUCAUACAGAGGAGAGACCCUACGCUUAUGCCAUCGGAUAUCAUCGAGGAUUCCGGAUCAACAAAACCUUGAGAGGGCGAAGGUGAAAUGUCAGUGGGGUGCUGAGGAGGCUCCUUGCGGUCCAGGAGAACUUUGUCUUGCUGAUGGCGCCCACCGUUUCUUUCCCACGGAGGGAGGGAGACGUUUCUUUACCGGUUCAGCGGACAACGAAGUCCAGAAGACCCGAGAAGAAAAUCCAUCUACCGGUCGGAGGGGUUUUAUAAUGGGAGGCUCCAGGCUCGCCUCCGGACAUCUUCACCGAAAGAUCAUCGGGUUAUAGACUUCAAUGUUGCGUCAGUGGAGAGAAUGGGGAUCAGCGGAGUUAUCAUUCUCCCGUCUUCCGGCUCCUUGAAUCUCCAGGCUCAUACAGAGGAGAGACCCUACGCUUAUGCCAUCGGAUAUCAUCGAGGAUUCCGGAUCAACAAAACCUUGAGUAUCAUUUACCCCAUUACUUGUCAACUCCUUUUAUAUAUUGUAACUUUGAAUUAAAGUAUUAACAUUUAUAUGGGCCAUAGAUCGAUAGUUUUCCCUAAGUGAUAUUUAAUUUGAAUCGGAAGGUUUUAAUGGGGUCUAAUGUAAUAAAGAACAAAGUGAACAUAGGA